Molecule: small RNA, 768 nt
Filed under: Malus domestica (apple)
Lineage: Eukaryota; Viridiplantae; Streptophyta; Magnoliopsida; Rosales; Rosaceae
Description: sRNA MD09G0180400
Source: RNAcentral
GGCUCUGUAAAUCUCUCACACGCUAGCAAUGUAACACAGAGGGACCAAAGAGAGUGGUUGAUUGGGUUCGUAUGAGAAAUGGUUCAAAAUCCAUCUCUGUUUGCGUAACAUCCCUUUUCGACUCUCUACCACCAAGAUUGGAUUUUUCACCCUCCAGCUUUCACAAUGAGUGCAGGUGGUGCUUUUGGUGGUAAUAGAGGGCUGAGCCCAGUUCCUCCAGAGAAAGGUGUCUUCCCCUUGGAUCGUAUGCAUUUGUGUGACCUGGACAUGACACAGAACCAAGCGCAAUGACGUUCUAGGAUUCAUAUAGCCGACCCCACUUAGUGGGAAAAGGCUUUGUUGUUGUUCUUUGUGCUGCUGGAAGUUCUUAGUUCCUUGGCUUUAUUACAGGAGAAAAAAAAAUGCCUCAGUUGCCUCAAAACUUCGGGCCACCAAUCUGAAAAAUGUAGGCUCUUCUCUAAAAUGUACCUGGAAUGCCAAAUGGAAAAGAACUUGAUGGAAACAAGACAUGUCAGAACUUGGAUUUGUUAAGGAAGGUAACUCGGACGCUUCUGGAGAGAAGGUUUCCAAGCGGAUUGCUAAUUAGAUCGGAUGAUAACUUUUGAGACGAUAGUAGUUGGGAGAUUUUUACUGAUAGGGCUAAUACGAUCGACACUGAAUUUUGGUCAUGGAAGAACUACUUGUAAAGGAUCGAAAAACAUUAGUGUUUUGGGUUCUUCAAAAGAUGUUAAUGAUUGUUUAUCCUAGCCUUGCAGUCGGGUUUCCCAA